ACGUCAGGGGGUUCGCUGCGUAUCACUGACAGCAGCACAAGCAAACCACAAUAACCCAACCGUUUGAACAGGAUGUCCACCAAAGCCACAAAACCCAGAUUCCAGGGCGGGCGUUGAGAGGGGAAACGAGCUGCAGCUCCUGAUCCUGCUUAUCAGGACCGCCAGCAGCAAUGGGCCUGAGGAGAAGACCAGGAUAAAACAGAUGUUUUCACAGAGACGAAGAUGAUUGAGAGUUAAAGACGCCGGGACACUCUCAGGAGGAUGGACAGAGGACACGUGAUCUGGAUCGUUCUGCUUUCUGUUAUCCCAGCAGGCAGGCCGGCUGCAUGGCCGGCGGGGGAUAUCUGUGCCUCGUGUCACGCCCACGCCACGUGCUCAAUCCUGCCGGACGGCUCGGGCCAUGCAUGCAUCUGCAUGUACGGCUUCAUCGGGAACGGGAGGAGCCUCUGCCAAGACAAAGACGAAUGUCAGAUCGGAGCGAGGAAGAUCUGUGGCCCCCACGCCGCCUGCCACAACACCGUGGGCAGCUAUACCUGCACCUGUAUGGGGGGCUUCAGACCCUCUAACCACAGGACCACCUUCACCCCGAACGACGGGACGUACUGCCAGGACAUUGAUGAGUGCGGGAGGCACCCUGCGGUGUGUGGAGAGGGGGCGCGCUGUGUCAACCUGGAGGGGGACUUUGAGUGCCGCUGCCUCCUAGGUUACAGAGCGCACAACGCCUCAGAUCCCUUCCAGCCCCUCAGGGACAAGGGCUCCUGCAAGGUGGUGGACUGUGGCCCCCCUCCCGCCGGAGAGGCAGUGCGGGUGCUGUCCACCAACGGCACCGCCUACGGCAGCGUGGUCCUCAUGGGCUGCAAGGAUGGCUUCCUGUGGAGACGGGGAGACAACUCAUCCACAUGUGGGCCGGACGGAACCUGGAGCCGGCCAGCCCCGCUUUGUCAAGAGCUGAGUUGUGGAACCCCACUAAUCGUCCCUGGAACUAAACGGAUGUGGGACGGUCGCAGCUCAGCGGGCAACAAGGUGCUCUAUAUGUGUUCUGCCAGCUAUUACCCGGAGAGCGGACAGGGCAGCGUUAAUUCAACAUGUUCUGAGACCGGAGAGUGGGGACACGUGCCUUUAAACUGCAGAGCUAGGUGUAGGCUCACUCCAUCGCUGGCCCAUGCGGAGGUGGCCUCGUACAACAGUAGCAUGACCGUGCAUCGCUGCGUGGACGGAUACCGCAGCAGCAGAGGGAGCAGCGUCUCUGUUUGUGGCAAUGCUGGGCAGUGGCAGAAGGCAACACUGAAGUGCAUAGAAAUCCAAUGUGGAGAACCUUUAUCUAAACCGCAUGCAAGGAUGUUGUGGGACAACGGUACCCGCGUGGGCAGCGUGCUGCACUACCAGUGUGAGGAGGGCUACCGCCCCUCCACCAACCGCCACUCCCCCUCCACCAACCGCUCCGUGUGCGGAGUGGACGGACAGUGGGAGGAGUCAGACCUGCGCUGUGAAGAGGUGAGUUGCGGAAUCCCACUAAUCGUCCCUGGAACUAAACGGAUGUGGGACGGUCGCAGCUCAGCGGGCAGCAAGGUGCUCUAUAUGUGUUCUGCCAGCUAUUACCCGGAGAGCGGACAGGGCAGCUUUAAUUCAACAUGUUCUGAGACCGGAGAGUGGGGACACGUGCCUUUAAACUGCAGAGCUAGGUGUAGGCUCACUCCAUCGCUGGCCCAUGCGGAGGUGGCCUGGUACAACAGUAGCGUGACCGUGCAUCGCUGCGUGGACGGAUACCGCAGCAGCAGAGGGAGCAGCGUCUCUGUUUGUGGCAAUGCUGGGCAGUGGCAGAAGGCAACACUGAAGUGCAUAGAAAUCCAAUGUGGAGAACCUUUAUCUAAACCGCAUGCAAGGAUGUUGUGGGACAACGGUACCCGCGUGGGCAGCGUGCUGCACUACCAGUGUGAGGAGGGCUACCGCCCCUCCACCAACCGCCACUCCCCCUCCACCAACCGCUCCGUGUGCGGAGUGGACGGACAGUGGGAGGAGUCAGACCUGCGCUGUGAAGAGCUGAGUUGCGGAAUCCCACUAAUCGUCCCUGGAACUAAACGGAUGUGGGACGGUCGCAGCUCAGCGGGCAACAAGGUGCUCUAUAUGUGUUCUGCCAGCUAUUACCCGGAGAGCGGACAGGGCAGCUUUAAUUCAACAUGUUCUGAGACCGGAGAGUGGGGACACGUGCCUUUAAACUGCAGAGCUAGGUGCGGGCCCGCUCCAUCGCUUGCCAAUGCGGAGGUGGCCUGGUACAACAGUAGCGUGACCGUGCAUCGCUGCGUGGACGGAUACCGCAGCAGCAGAGGGAUCAGCGUCUCUGUGUGUGGCAAUGCUGGGCAGUGGCAGAAGGCAACGCUGAAGUGCACAGAAGUUAAACCAGCUGUGAAUGACCUGCGCGUCUUUAAUGAAAAGUGUCUGCAGUGGAGGGCAGAGAAGAAUGACGUAGACAAGGAGAUUUAUAAGGUGGUGUUCAGAGGCACCAGAGACUAUCAGGGGGCUUUCCGCCAUGAGAAGAGGCAACUCCUCCACUCUUGGGACAAGUGGGUGGAGGUCUGUCUCAGUCUCCUGCCUGCCACCAACUACACCAUCUCCGUCAUUGCGUCAUCCACCAGAUUCACUGCCAACAUCACCACCAGCACCAGCCUACAAGUGCCUCAGGCUCCGCUAGUCCUCUACCGAGAGCUGGACGCUCCCCCCGCCACCUUGAGGCUCAGGCGCUCAGCUCACACUUUAGACGCCAUCAGUGUGUACCAGGUGGUCGUGGUGCCUUUAGACGGGACUGUAGUGUUCGAAUGCAGAUCCCGGGGGAUACCUGGCUCCUCUCAGGGGGUGCCCCCGUCCAGCCAGUACAUCACAGGGCAGUUCCCUCUCGGCCACAUGAACGACACGGAGAUGAUCUUCACCGUCGGGGACGGACGGUUCCACGGCGGCUUCUUUAAUGCGCCACUCAAGAGAGGAACAAACUACUACGUCAUUCUGCGAGUGGUCAGCCAGUGGAAAGAGGCUUUCAACAGCUCCUGUGUUCUCUGGGCGAAAGUAACAGUUUGAUAUGUAUCCAACCCAGGUACAUCAUAUGUCAUGAGAGUGUCCUCGCUGUUGGCUGCUGGCUCUGUUGGAGGUCUCCUGUUGGUCGUCCUGCUUGGAUAUAUUUACAUCUGGUUUUUCAAGAGACGUGAAUCCCGUUUAAACUCUCAAUAAGAUGUCUGUUUUUUGGCAUGAUCAUGUAGCCCUACAUUUCUGACUGUAACCAUUUCAAUGUUGUGAAAAAAAUGGUUAAACAAUUAAAAAGUAAUAAACGAUGUUAUUAGUG
Gadus macrocephalus (Pacific cod) is the source of this 3331-nucleotide RNA transcript. It is a transcript of the gene named sushi domain containing 1, with no coding region annotated. The record is from RefSeq and is a predicted model, not a curated record. The transcript has 20 exons. NCBI's taxonomy places the organism in Eukaryota, Metazoa, Chordata, Actinopteri, Gadiformes, Gadidae.